GGAGUCAACUCAACCCCACUGACACAAAAACAGCAGGUAACUAGCAAUCAACCUUGGCUGGGACAAACCCUCAGCGUCAAAACGUAAGAGCUUCAAAGCCUGGGAAGGAUGAGCUCAGUUAGCGAGACCAUCAGCCACCGUGUUACCUUUGCUUCCCUAUAGACAUUCUAGGGGCCCCGUCGUCUGUCUUUAAUUUGAUGGAGGCUUCCAAGCAACACAAAUCAACCUCUUGCUUAGCAAA
Molecule: unclassified non-coding RNA, 241 nt
Filed under: Hevea brasiliensis (rubber tree)
Lineage: Eukaryota; Viridiplantae; Streptophyta; Magnoliopsida; Malpighiales; Euphorbiaceae
Source: RNAcentral